RNAcentral lists this unclassified non-coding RNA (311 nucleotides) under air metagenome. RNAcentral describes it as "partial contains small subunit ribosomal RNA, internal transcribed spacer 1, and 5.8S ribosomal RNA". The stretch from base 1 to 46 matches the Rfam family "Eukaryotic small subunit ribosomal RNA", at positions 1786 to 1831 of the family's 1831-position model. The record is from RNAcentral.
AAGUCGUAACAAGGUUUCCGUAGGUGAACCUGCGGAAGGAUCAUUAACGAGCUUCGGGGGCACGAUGUGGCACGAUGCUGGCCCCGCAAGGGUGCAUGUGCUCGCCGCGUCUGCCUGAUCCGUUCAGCACCUGUGCAUGCGAGAGGGUGGCGGCGGGGGCUCCUGGCCUCUGCUGCUUGGGGGUUUCCCUCCCUCCCUGUCAACCCAACCCCACACAUCGAACACCUGCCUGUCAUCCCGAGCGUCUUUGCGCGGCUUUGCCGUGUCAAUGUUAAUUAGUACAACUUUCAACAACGGAUCUCUUGGCUCUC